Molecule: ribosomal RNA, 256 nt
Filed under: uncultured Actinomycetales bacterium
Lineage: Bacteria; Bacillati; Actinomycetota; Actinomycetes; Actinomycetales
Description: partial 16S ribosomal RNA
Rfam family: Bacterial small subunit ribosomal RNA
Source: RNAcentral
CUUUUGUGGGGUGCUCGAGUGGCGAACGGGUGAGUAACACGUGAGUAACCUGCCCUUGACUUUGGGAUAACUUCAGGAAACUGGGGCCAAUACCGGAUAGGAGCUCCUGCUGCAUGGUGGGGGUUGGAAAGUUUCGGCGGUUGGGGAUGGACUCGCGGCUUAUCAGCUUGUUGGUGGGGUAGUGGCUUACCAAGGCUUUGACGGGUAGCCGGCCUGAGGGGGUGACCGGCCACAUUGGGACUGAGAUACGGCCCAG